CUCCUACGGGAGGCAGCAGUAGGGAAUCUUCCGCAAUGGACGAAAGUCUGACGGAGCAACGCCGCGUGAGUGAUGAAGGUUUUCGGAUCGUAAAGCUCUGUUGUUAGGGAAGAACAAGUACCGUUCGAAUAGGGCGGUACCUUGACGGUACCUAACCAGAAAGCCACGGCUAACUACGUGCCAGCAGCCGCGGUAAUACGUAGGUGGCAAGCGUUGUCCGGAAUUAUUGGGCGUAAAGGGCUCGCAGGCGGUUUCUUAAGUCUGAUGUGAAAGCCCCCGGCUCAACCGGGGAGGGUCAUUGGAAACUGGGGAACUUGAGUGCAGAAGAGGAGAGUGGAAUUCCACGUGUAGCGGUGAAAUGCGUAGAGAUGUGGAGGAACACCAGUGGCGAAGGCGACUCUCUGGUCUGUAACUGACGCUGAGGAGCGAAAGCGUGGGGAGCGAACAGGAUUAGAUACCCUGGUAGUCCACGCCGUAAACGAUGAGUGCUAAGUGUUAGGGGGUUUCCGCCCCUUAGUGCUGCAGCUAACGCAUUAAGCACUCCGCCUGGGGAGUACGGUCGCAAGACUG
Molecule: ribosomal RNA, 570 nt
Filed under: Bacillus sp. enrichment culture clone M7C5
Lineage: Bacteria; Bacillati; Bacillota; Bacilli; Caryophanales; Bacillaceae
Description: bacterial SSU rRNA
Rfam family: Bacterial small subunit ribosomal RNA
Source: RNAcentral